RNAcentral lists this long non-coding RNA (2810 nucleotides) under Triticum aestivum (bread wheat). Its description in RNAcentral is "long non-coding RNA (TAES_LNC010745)". The record is from RNAcentral. Lineage: Eukaryota; Viridiplantae; Streptophyta; Magnoliopsida; Poales; Poaceae.
UACACAAUUUACAUGGCUUUCGAGUCCUUUUAUUUAUGACCAGGGAAAAACCUCUAAUUGUUAACUUUGUAUUUUCCCACUGACUAGCGCAUAUCUUGCCUAAGCGCAGGCUUAAGCAAUGCGUUUUGUUCUGCCCUAGCGCCUAGGUGCUUACACCCUUUCCCCCUACUGAUUUAAGAGGUGUGGAGAUUUUUUAAGGAGGUGUUGCUCGCUUUGUUGUUCAGAUCACAGAAGAAGUAUGUACAAGUAUACAUCACCGCUGUUACUUGCUUGCAAUUACAGUGUAUUUUAAAACACACACUUGGCGAACAUCUGCUCGUGCUUACAAUGAUCUAUGAGGGAAAUAAUAGAUCAACACUUGCUUUUUUGCUCCUUUUGAACAGUUGUCAGGACCUCACCGGCAGAUCCCUCAGCUAUCAGGGAAAGCAGUCAUCAGCGGAGAUUGAGGGUGCCUCUCCGGCAAGAGUGCUCGUGUCGUGGUGGUUUCCCACCAGCAGCAUGGGGGAGACGGUGUCCUCUGCAGCUAGGUCUACUUGCUGGCGACCUCACCGUCACCAGCCCAUCUGCAGGUAUGCUAGCUCAUCUUCUAUUAGUGCAAAAAGGAGAUGCUCAAAUGGAUUGAGUGGUACCCUCCUGAAACUAUUGUAGGGAUGGACAUAUGGAUUGAUUGGUUGGCCCCUGAAAGCUACACAGAUCUGAACCAAUAACUUUAAUAAGAAUGUGUAUCCCAGCUCCUUUUAUAAUCUUGAAUCCUUCUCGGUCCUACUAAACUGUAACUCAUGUUUAUUUUUGGAAACAAUAUUUUGGACAUUCCUAACCUGGUCAAGGGAAUGUAUUGCCCACCUACAGUGAGAGACACAUACGAAGUAGGUCCUACUAAACACCUAAAAGGAUGAGUUACAGUAGGUGUGCAUAGAGUACUAACAUUUUUGCUAUCUUUAUGCUCCUCCAUAUGGAUGGGAACUAAAAGGAUGAUGAUAUUAUUCUACCUUUCAAUAUUUGGUGGUGCAUAUUUAAGAAAAUCACAGCUAAGCAUGUCACUUUCUAAAAAGACGCUUGACUGGAAUGUAUAUGUAUAUAGUUAAUAAAAUCAUAGUGACUGAUUGUUCAGUUCCUCUGUUUAGAUUAGAGGUGUCUGCAUGCAUCCAAGUGAACGGUCUUUCCAGCUCAAAAGAGAAAGUGACCGAUGUUUUGGCAUAUUUUCCUAUUAGGAAUAAAUGGAUAUGCCCAUGCACGUAUGCACACAGAUUUCAGGUUACAGUUUAAUUAGGAAACAGAUGAUACCUCAUUGUGUCGUAUUGGUCUAAGAAGAGGGGAUAUACUUGGUGAAUAUAUAUGUUCCACCUGACCGUUAAUUUCAGAGAAAAGGACAUGCACUUCAGUAGCAAAAAUUUGAUUGUUAUGUACUAUCUGUAAUGCUAAGCAUUUAUUUGCUAAUAUCUCCUCAUCUGAAUUUGUAUUUUGUGCCAUUUGGCCUUUUAACCAUAUGGGCAUAUGCAGAUGGUCUGAAAACCAAGGUAUGCCACAGAUAAUAACUAUAUGGGCUGCUCCAGAUGGACUAAGAAUGGAACCAUAUCCUAGGCCUACAUGCUAAUAUUGUACAGCAAUGAAUAUCUUAACUUAUUUAUACUUAAUCAGCUGUGUAAUAAUAAGCGUGAUAUUAGCUUUCGUACCCAUCUUCAUGGUUGAAAUACUUUUCUGCAAUAUGUGACACAUUUGCUUCAGUUUCCAUGUCUUGCUUCAUGCUAUCAACAUUGUUAAUCAUUUAUCUUUAUCUUUCUUCCCCUUUACAGCCUACUUGAAUGGAUAUGGUUCCUGAGAGACCAUUUCUUAUGCAUCAGGUCCUGAAGGUGGAUGAUGCUUGUUUAGAUAUCUAUGAUUCCAAAUUAUUCAAAACGGUUCAUGUUAUACUGGAUGCUAUUUUAUUGAGAGUGGCUUCGAACAAUAUGGCAUGAACAUAUUUGUUUUCUCUUUGGCCAAUAAUGAAAUGAUCUGUGUGCAUAUAAAAUGGUUAUCGAUACCAUAAUUCUUGGUUUUAAUUAGCUUUUUGCGCUAACCGGUUUAAGCCAUUCUACUAUAUGUAAUACAAUCCACAUUGCAUCAUCUUUCCAUUUACGUCUCUUACUUAUUCACUACUAACAUUCCUUCUAAAUGGCUUCUUGCGCCAUUGGCGCAACCGGGUCAUCUAGUUAGUAGCAAAACCUGUUAAUGUUGAACCAAAAGAAGCCGCUAGUAGAUACUAAAGUCACCUAACUUUCGGUGUAGUCAGGGUCUCAACCGGAGGUUGACAAAGAAGUAAUGGGCAAUGAAACUAGAAGUAGGAAGUAGGUGUUUUGUUAAAGAUCGAAAACCCAAAUGUAUUUCUCGUUCUUCUUGUUUGGCUUCAUUUGUUUUUUUAUCUCUUUCUUUUGUGUUCUUUAUGGUUCUUUUCCUUCUAAUUAUUUCUUUUGUUUAUUUGUUUGCUUUUACAAGAAAAAAUACAAAACAUUUCUUUCUCCCUUUUUUCUUUUGAAGUUCUUUGAGAAAACAACAAAUAUUUCUUCAUUCUUUUUGCUUUUUCUUUGGAAGUUUAUCUGAUUGCCUCUUUGUUGAAACUUUGGAAAUCUUGUAUCUUUGCUUGUCACUUUGCAUUAUUGUUUGCCUUCUUUGGGAAAACCAAAAAUUCCAAAAAUACUUAAGUGGUGUUUCUCUUAGUUCUUUGCCUUUUAUAUUUCAAAAAAUCAAAAAAAAAAAUUCUCUUUCAUUUUUCUUUUGUUUUCCUUCGUUUGCUUUUGAUUGUUCUUUUUGGCUUUUCUCGCUGUUUCUUUUUG